UUCCGUACUCGGUUGGACGAU
This 21-nucleotide non-coding RNA is filed under the name Caenorhabditis elegans. Lineage: Eukaryota; Metazoa; Nematoda; Chromadorea; Rhabditida; Rhabditidae. The record is from RNAcentral.